ACCACGGGAGGCAGCAGUGAGGAAUAUUGGUCAAUGGGCGCGAGCCUGAACCAGCCAAGUAGCGUGAAGGAUGACCGCCCUACGGGUUGUAAACUUCUUUUAUAUGGGAAUAAAGUUUUCCACGUGUGGAAUUUUGUAUGUACCAUAUGAAUAAGGAUCGGCUAACUCCGUGCCAGCAGCCGCGGUAAUACGGAGGAUCCGAGCGUUAUCCGGAUUUAUUGGGUUUAAAGGGAGCGUAGGUGGAUUGUUAAGUCAGUUGUGAAAGUUUGCGGCUCAACCGUAAAGUUGCAGUUGAAACUGGCAGU
This 305-nucleotide ribosomal RNA is filed under the name uncultured bacterium. RNAcentral's name for it is "bacterial SSU rRNA". It matches the Rfam family "Bacterial small subunit ribosomal RNA", at positions 338 to 640 of the family's 1533-position model. The record is from RNAcentral.